UGGGGAAUAUUGCACAAUGGGCGCAAGCCUGAUGCAGCCAUGCCGCGUGUGUGAAGAAGGCCUUCGGGUUGUAAAGCACUUUCAGCGAGGAGGAAGGGUAGUGUGUUAAUAGCACAUUGCAUUGACGUUACUCGCAGAAGAAGCACCGGCUAACUCCGUGCCAGCAGCCGCGGUAAUACGGAGGGUGCAAGCGUUAAUCGGAAUUACUGGGCGUAAAGCGCACGCAGGCGGUUUGUUAAGUCAGAUGUGAAAUCCCCGCGCUUAACGUGGAACUGCAUUUGAAACUGGCAAGCUAGAGUCUUGUAGAGGGGGGUAGAAUUCCAGGUGUAGCGGUGAAAUGCGUAGAGAUCUGGAGGAAUACCGGUGGCGAAGGCGGCCCCCCUGGACAAAGA
Molecule: ribosomal RNA, 392 nt
Filed under: uncultured bacterium
Lineage: Bacteria
Description: partial 16S ribosomal RNA
Rfam family: Bacterial small subunit ribosomal RNA
Source: RNAcentral